AACGAACGCUGGCGGCAUGCCUAACACAUGCAAGUCGAACGAGACCUUCGGGUCUAGUGGCGCACGGGUGCGUAACGCGUGGGAACCUGCCCUUAGGUUCGGAAUAACUCCCCGAAAGGGGUGCUAAUACUGGAUAAUGUCUUCGGACCAAAGAUUUAUCGCCUUUGGAUGGUCCCGCGUUGGAUUAGCUAGUUGGUAGGGUAAAAGCCUACCAAGGCGACGAUCCAUAGCUGGUCUGAGAGGAUGAUCAGCCACACUGGGACUGAGACACGGCCCAGACUCCUACGGGAGGCAGCAGUGGGGAAUAUUGGACAAUGGGCGAAAGCCUGAUCCAGCAAUGCCGCGUGAGUGAUGAAGGCCUUAGGGUUGUAAAGCUCUUUUACCCGGGAUGAUAAUGACAGUACCGGGAGAAUAAGCUCCGGCUAACUCCGUG
This 433-nucleotide ribosomal RNA is filed under the name uncultured bacterium. Its description in RNAcentral is "partial 16S ribosomal RNA". It matches the Rfam family "Bacterial small subunit ribosomal RNA", at positions 29 to 507 of the family's 1533-position model. The record is from RNAcentral.